AUUGAACGCUGGCGGCAUGCUUUACACAUGCAAGUCGAACGGUAACAGGCCUUCGGGUGCUGACGAGUGGCGCACGGGCGAGUAAUGCAUCGGAACGUACCCAGAGGUGGGGGAUAACGCAGCGAAAGCUGUGCUAAUACCGCAUGUGAUCUGAGGAUGAAAGCGGGGGACCGAGCAGCAAUGUUUGGCCUCGCGCCUUUGGAGCGGCCGAUGUCGGAUUAGCUAGUUGGUGGGGUAAAGGCCUACCAAGGCGACGAUCCGUAGCUGGUCUGAGAGGACGACCCGACCUAGUGGGAGUGAGACGCGGCGCAGACUCCUAAGGGCGGCAGGGGUGGGGAAUUUUGGACAAUGGGCGCAAGCCUGAGCCAGCAAUGCCGCGUGCGGGAAGAAGGCCUUCGGGUUGUAAGACGCUUUUGGCAGGAACGAAACGGUGUCCGCUAAUACCGGGCGCUAAUGACGGUACCUGCAGAAUAAGCACCGGCUAACUACGUG
RNAcentral lists this ribosomal RNA (492 nucleotides) under uncultured bacterium. Its description in RNAcentral is "partial 16S ribosomal RNA". It matches the Rfam family "Bacterial small subunit ribosomal RNA", at positions 29 to 507 of the family's 1533-position model. The record is from RNAcentral.